RNAcentral lists this ribosomal RNA (833 nucleotides) under uncultured bacterium. RNAcentral's name for it is "bacterial SSU rRNA". It matches the Rfam family "Bacterial small subunit ribosomal RNA", at positions 28 to 896 of the family's 1533-position model. The record is from RNAcentral.
AAUCAACGCUGGCGGCGCGCUUAACACAUGCAAGUCGAACGAGAAAGCCCGCAAGGGUGAGUACAGUGGCGUACGGGUGAGUAACACGUGGGUAAUCUACCUCUGGGUUCGGAAUAACCCUGGGAAACCGGGGCUAAUACUGGAUGAGCUCGCGAGAGGAAAGGCGAAAGUCGCCGAGAGAGGAGCCCGCGGCCGAUUAGCUAGUUGGUAGGGUAACGGCCUACCAAGGCAAUGAUCGGUAGCCGGCCUGAGAGGGCACACGGCCACACUGGCACUGAAACACGGGCCAGACUCCUACGGGAGGCAGCAGUGGGGAAUCUUGCACAAUGGGGGAAACCCUGAUGCAGCGACGCCGCGUGAGCGAUGAAGCCCUUCGGGGUGUAAAGCUCUUUCGGCCGGAACGAUAAUGACGGUACCGGCAGAAGAAGCUGCGGCUAACUACGUGCCAGCAGCCGCGGUAAUACGUAGGCAGCGAGCGUUGUUCGGAGUUACUGGGCGUAAAGAGUGCGUAGGCGGUUGGCUAAGUUUGGUGUGAAAUCUCCCGGCUCAACUGGGAGGGUGCGCCGAAAACUGGCUGGCUAGAGUGUGGGAGAGGUAAGCGGAAUUCCUGGUGUAGCGGUGAAAUGCGUAGAUAUCAGGAGGAACACCUGCGGUGUAGACGGCUUACUGGACCAUUACUGACGCUGAGGCACGAAAGCGUGGGGAGCAAACAGGAUUAGAUACCCUGGUAGUCCACGCCCUAAACGAUGCAUACUUGGUGUGGGCAGUUCAUUCUGUCCGUGCCGGAGCUAACGCGUUAAGUAUGCCGCCUGGGGAGUACGGUCGCAAGGCUG